AGUAGGCUUUCAGCGUGCGCUGGCAGAGCGCCGAGCGUACGCAGUCGUCUUUGGUGAAGCGCACAAUACCUAUCAUUUCAUCUUCUUCAAAACGGGCCAGCGCAUCGCUAAGCCCGGACUGAACGCCGCGAGGCAGGUCACACUGGGUGAUGUCCCCGUUCACGAUAACCGUGACGUUCUCCCCGAGGCGAGUU
Molecule: non-coding RNA, 194 nt
Organism: Kluyvera ascorbata ATCC 33433
Lineage: Bacteria; Pseudomonadati; Pseudomonadota; Gammaproteobacteria; Enterobacterales; Enterobacteriaceae
Source: Rfam